GGGCCUGUAGCUCAUCUGGGAGAGCAUCCGUCUUGCACACGGAAGGUGGUCGGUUCGAGUCCGAUCAGGUCCA
RNAcentral lists this transfer RNA (73 nucleotides) under Couchioplanes caeruleus subsp. caeruleus. It matches the Rfam family "tRNA". From Rfam's summary of the family: Transfer RNA (tRNA) molecules are approximately 80 nucleotides in length. Their secondary structure includes four short double-helical elements and three loops (D, anti-codon, and T loops). The record is from Rfam by way of RNAcentral. Lineage: Bacteria; Bacillati; Actinomycetota; Actinomycetes; Micromonosporales; Micromonosporaceae. RNAcentral also lists the same sequence under 1 other name.